UGGACUACAGGGGUUUCUAAUCCCGUUUGCUCCCCUGGCUUUCGCGUCUCAGCGUCAGAAUGGGUCCAGAGACUCGCUUUCGCCGCGGGCGUUCCUUCCGAUCUCAACGCAUUUCACCGCUCCACCGGAAGUUCCAGUCUCCCCUACCCACCUCAAGACAACUCGUAUCAGCGCCUGUUCCCCGGUUGAGCCGGGGGAUUUCAACGACUGACGUGGCCAUCCGCCUACACGCGCUUUAAGCCCAGUAAUUCCGAAUAACGUUCGCUUGGUUCGUCUUACCGCGGCUGCUGGCAC
This 294-nucleotide unclassified non-coding RNA is filed under the name uncultured Planctomycetia bacterium. RNAcentral's name for it is "contains 16S-23S intergenic spacer region". Lineage: Bacteria; Pseudomonadati; Planctomycetota; Planctomycetia. The record is from RNAcentral.